RNAcentral lists this ribosomal RNA (198 nucleotides) under uncultured bacterium. RNAcentral describes it as "partial 16S ribosomal RNA". It matches the Rfam family "Bacterial small subunit ribosomal RNA", at positions 328 to 539 of the family's 1533-position model. The record is from RNAcentral.
ACGCUCGACACCUAUGGGAGGCAGCAGUGGGGAAUAUUGCACAAUGGGGGAAACCCUGAUGCAGCGACGCCGCGUGAGCGAAGAAGUAUUUCGGUAUGUAAAGCUCUAUCAGCAGGGAAGAAACUGACGGUACCUGACUAAGAAGCACCGGCUAAAUACGUGCCAGCAGCUGCGGUAAUCUGAGCGGGCUGGCAAGGC